This 165-nucleotide ribosomal RNA is filed under the name uncultured bacterium. Its description in RNAcentral is "partial 16S rRNA". It matches the Rfam family "Bacterial small subunit ribosomal RNA", at positions 355 to 510 of the family's 1533-position model. The record is from RNAcentral.
UAGGGAAUCUUCGGCAAUGGGGGCAACCCUGACCGAGCAACGCCGCGUGAGUGAAGAAGGUUUUCGGAUCGUAAAGCUCUGUUGUAAGAGAAGAACGUGUGUGAGAGUGGAAAGUUCACACAGUGACGGUAACUUACCAGAAAGGGACGGCUAAACUACGUGCCA